AGCAGAUACACAGAAGCUGUGAAAGCCCUUUUUUCUUCUUAAAAUAAAGGCUGUGAAGGAAUUUGGCUUCUUUCCAUGUCUAUCGGGAUUUGGUUUCCUUUUUCGGGGAGCAAAUAAAAAGGCGAGAAUCAUUUCUCGAGAAAUCAUUUUCGUUUUGCCACAGCCAUCGCUACGCUGUAACUCUCCUAAAGCAUCAUGAUGAAGGCACUUUUUCUUCUGAUCUGCAUUGUCGGAUCUGCGUUCUCAGCACCGGCUGUGGAGCUGGUCGAGCUGGAGGCAGUGGUGGCGGCGCAGCAGGCGUUUGGGACUCGGCAGUCUGCUGCUUCGGUGCUCCGCUCUCAUGGUUUUGUCAAGGAGAUCCCUCAGUCCUCCAGCAGAGAAAGCUUCGAGCUGGACCCCUACGGCUUAGUCGCAGCCCCCGCCGCCCCCAUCAAGCUCACCGUCCAGGAUCCGCUAAAAGACGACGAAGACGAUGACAACAGCAAUGAUGACCUCGAUGACUGAAGCUGAGUCAGAGAGCAAAACCUGCCCACUUCCAACCAAAACGGCUACACAGCCACUUCGAAAGUGACCAUUACAUGACUUCAUGGCAAUAACUUUGUGAUGAACAUAAACCCAGUUUCUGAUGUGCUAAAUAUCAGUUAUAAUUGUACAGGCUUGAUCAUACCCAAAACCUAUAAAUAACUAAAGUUUAUUUCCUUUUUCUGAAAAGGUAUGUUUGAUUUUGGUCAGUCCAUGCUAAAAAUCGAUUUUAAAAACUACCUUCAGUCUACUAAUACUCCUGAUAUUUUUACUAUUUUUCCUGGCUUUCCAGUUUAGAGGAACUUAACCAUUUUUGAUAAUUAUUCUAAAAAUGGACAGUUAGUCAAUAGUGAUUUAGCAGCAUUUGUGCUAGGAAAAUAUAAAAGAUUAUUAGCUUUCGGGUAAAAUUAAACAUAAAAUUCAUAUUUCAUUUAUUGUCUGCCUGCUGUUUAUUGAAUUAAUUUGUGUGAUUUGGCUUGACUCUCAUCACAAUAUCUUGCAUGAAAAUUCCUUCAAAUAAAAUGUACCCAUU
RNAcentral lists this long non-coding RNA (1054 nucleotides) under Scleropages formosus (Asian bonytongue). RNAcentral describes it as "lncRNA (ENSSFOG00015029387.1)". The record is from RNAcentral. Lineage: Eukaryota; Metazoa; Chordata; Actinopteri; Osteoglossiformes; Osteoglossidae.